GGGGACACUUCCCGUUCGUCCGUGUGCGUGCCGCCGUGUGCACCGCUGGGGACGGGUCUGCCGCUGCAGCCGGCCAGGACAGACAGUGCGCACUUCUCUCCUCAAACGGCGGCAUGGCAUGUUUCCCGGCCCUUCCCUGCCUCUCUUCUUAUUCUAGGAUUCUGGGGCGCCAGGUCUCGCAUGUGUUGGUCUGUGAGUGGAAGCUUCAGUAAUGGUGGAACAGGAGAAAACCAGAAGAGGAGAACCAAGAGUCCCAGGAGACGCUAUCAUGUGAAACCUCAAGGUCCGAAGUGCCUAGAACAGUGUCCUGUAUAUGGGAGACAUUCAAGACACAUUUACUGAAUGAAUAAAUGAAUGAAUGGCUCUCAAGUCAAGCUGGCUGCCCCUGCCAUCUACUAGCAAUGUGAUGCUUCCCAGGCCUUGCCUCCAGCGCAACGGAUGCAUUUCAGGGGCAGCAGCUGCACUUGUCUGAGCCCCCUUUGCAGAUGCAGCCCCGGGCACACUUGGCACAGCCCGGGGGGCAGCAAGGACAGCAGCCUGAAAAGGUCACAGGACAGACAGAUGCAAAUUCCUCCUAGAAGAGAAGACAGAGCCACAAGCGUUAAGGACUGAGAUCGAACGAGGACACAAGGUGUGCUGCAGAUCAUCCCGGUGGCAAGGGACCCUCUAGACGUAUGAGCCCCACCCCCUGGAGCAGCCUGGAGCCAUCGGUUCUAUUAUGCUGGUUUAUACAUUGACCUCUCUCUCUAGACUGCAUGCUUCUCAAAAACGAAGUCAGUCCGUAUUAAUCUCAGCAUCCCUGUUGCCAGGCACACUGAGCGCUGGCACACAAGAUCCAAAAAUGUGAAGCGUGCGGUGUGCGGAGGCAGUGGAGAACCAGAUGUGCGCAUCCUGCGGGCCAACCACGACGGCAUCCAAAAUGCAGGGGCGCCUGGGUGGCUCAGUCGGUUGGGCGGCCGACUUUGGCUCAGGUCAUGAUCUCGCAGUCCGUAAGUUCGAGCCC
This is a long non-coding RNA of Herpailurus yagouaroundi (jaguarundi), 1003 nucleotides long. RefSeq lists it as uncharacterized. Lineage: Eukaryota; Metazoa; Chordata; Mammalia; Carnivora; Felidae. The transcript has 7 exons. The record is from RefSeq and is a predicted model, not a curated record.